CACGACGUUGGCUGAAAAAGUCCUUCAUUAUCUUCUUUGUGUCUUUCCUAUCGAUAUUUGAAGUUAUCAUUCCUAGUUAUGUUUUUCAUUCCUUAUGUCUAAGUGAACUUGGCUACCGGUUUCUUAUUUGGCUAACUCUUAGAUAAAGGCAAAAGGGAAAGACCCUUACAAUUUGGAAAUUUGGAUAUCGUCUCGCAUGCAGGCACGUGUUGGUGAUGAUGAUAGUUUGCUAUGCUUGCUGCUGUGAAGUGGUACCUAUUCCACAUUCCAAAUCAUUUGGUCAAUGAUUUGUUCAUUAAUGGCCAAUCAGCCUGCGGAUCUCUACCUCAAAGAAAGUCGAAAAUGCCACCCCUUGCUGUUAUGAUCCUGGAGACCGCAGUUAUUUUUCCAACUAAUGGAAGAGCGAAUCUUCAGUGAGGUACUUGACGGAG
Molecule: long non-coding RNA, 431 nt
Organism: Andrographis paniculata
Lineage: Eukaryota; Viridiplantae; Streptophyta; Magnoliopsida; Lamiales; Acanthaceae
Exons: 4
Source: RefSeq, a predicted model, not a curated record